CUGCAUACCGCCCUGAAUGUAUUCUACGUCAUCUGAUCUUGCAAGCUAAGCAGGGUAGGUAGGCUCUAGUGAGUACUUGGAUGGGACACCUGAAAUAAUUUAUUGAAAUAGA
This 112-nucleotide ribosomal RNA is filed under the name Octodon degus (degu). The record is from RNAcentral. Lineage: Eukaryota; Metazoa; Chordata; Mammalia; Rodentia; Octodontidae.